RNAcentral lists this small RNA (110 nucleotides) under Burkholderia cepacia. RNAcentral's name for it is "Bp1_684". It matches the Rfam family "Burkholderia sRNA Bp1_Cand684_SIPHT". Lineage: Bacteria; Pseudomonadati; Pseudomonadota; Betaproteobacteria; Burkholderiales; Burkholderiaceae. The record is from RNAcentral.
AGAAAAGUAACCGCCGCCCCGCGCAGGGGCGACGCUAAUAGACCGACAAGAUCACAGGUGCUUCACGAUCACAGGUGCUUCACGACGACAAAGGCAAGCACACGCCCCAC